Molecule: transfer RNA, 73 nt
Filed under: Myotis davidii
Lineage: Eukaryota; Metazoa; Chordata; Mammalia; Chiroptera; Vespertilionidae
Rfam family: tRNA
About the family: Transfer RNA (tRNA) molecules are approximately 80 nucleotides in length. Their secondary structure includes four short double-helical elements and three loops (D, anti-codon, and T loops). Further hydrogen bonds mediate the characteristic L-shaped molecular structure. tRNAs have two regions of fundamental functional importance: the anti-codon, which is responsible for specific mRNA codon recognition, and the 3' end, to which the tRNAs corresponding amino acid is attached (by aminoacyl-tRNA synthetases). tRNAs cope with the degeneracy of the genetic code in two manners: having more than one tRNA (with a specific anti-codon) for a particular amino acid; and 'wobble' base-pairing, i.e. permitting non-standard base-pairing at the 3rd anti-codon position.
Source: Rfam by way of RNAcentral
GCUGGUUUGGCUCAGUGGAUAGAGCAUCAGCCUGUGAACUGAAGGGUCACCGGUUCGAUUUCGGUCAAGGGCA